GGAAUCUUCGGCAAUGGACGAAAGUCUGACCGAGCAACGCCGCGUGAGCGAAGAAGGCCUUCGGGUCGUAAAGCUCUGUUGUUAGAGAAGAACAUGGGUGAGAGUAACUGUUCACCCCUUGACGGUAUCUAACCAGAAAGCCACGGCUAACUACGUGCCAGCAGCCGCGGUAAUACGUAGGUGGCAAGCGUUGUCCGGAAUUAUUGGGCGUAAAGCGCGCGCAGGCGGUCUCUUAAGUCUGAUGUGAAAGCCCCCGGCUCAAUCGGGGAGGGUCAUUGGAAACUGGGAGACUUGAGGACAGAAGAGGAGAGUGGAAUUCCAAGUGUAGCGGUGAAAUGCGUAGAUAUUUGGAGGAACACCAGUGGCGAAGGCGGCUCUCUGGUCUGUUACUGACGCUGAGGCGCGAAAGCGUGGGGAGCAAACAGGAUUAGAUACCCGGG
Molecule: ribosomal RNA, 440 nt
Filed under: uncultured Brochothrix sp.
Lineage: Bacteria; Bacillati; Bacillota; Bacilli; Caryophanales; Listeriaceae
Description: bacterial SSU rRNA
Rfam family: Bacterial small subunit ribosomal RNA
Source: RNAcentral